UUAAGCGACUAAGCGUACACGGUGGAUGCCCUGGCAGUCAGAGGCGAUGAAGGACGUGCUAAUCUGCGAAAAGCGUCGGUAAGGUGAUAUGAACCGUUAUAACCGGCGAUGUCCGAAUGGGGAAACCCAGUGCAAUUCGUUGCACUAUCGUUAACUGAAUACAUAGGUUAACGAGGCGAACCGGGGGAACUGAAACAUCUAAGUACCCCGAGGAAAAGAAAUCAACCGAGAUUCCCCCAGUAGCGGCGAGCGAACGGGGAGCAGCCCAGAGUCUGAAUCAGCUUGUGUGUUAGUGGAACGGUCUGGAAAGUCCGACGGUACAGGGUGAUAGUCCCGUACACCAAAAUGCACAGGUUGUGAACUCGAAGAGUAGGGCGGGACACGUGGUAUCCUGUCUGAAUAUGGGGGGACCAUCCUCCAAGGCUAAAUACUCCUGACUGACCGAUAGUGAACCAGUACCGUGAGGGAAAGGCGAAAAGAACCCCGGCGAGGGGAGUGAAAAAGAACCUGAAACCGUGUACGUACAAGCAGUGGGAGCACCUUCGGGUGUGACUGCGUACCUUUUGUAUAAUGGGUCAGCGACUUAUAUUCUGUAGCAAGGUUAACCGUAUAGGGGAGCCGCAGGGAAACCGAGUCUUAACUGGGCGUUAAGUUGCAGGGUAUAGACCCGAAACCCGGUGAUCUAGCCAUGGGCAGGUUGAAGGUUGGGUAACACUAACUGGAGGACCGAACCGACUAAUGUUGAAAAAUUAGCGGAUGACUUGUGGCUGGGGGUGAAAGGCCAAUCAAACCGGGAGAUAGCUGGUUCUCCCCGAAAGCUAUUUAGGUAGCGCCUCGUGAACUCAUCUUCGGGGGUAGAGCACUGUUUCGGCUAGGGGGUCAUCCCGACUUACCAACCCGAUGCAAACUACGAAUACCGAAGAAUGUUAUCACGGGAGACACACGGCGGGUGCUAACGUCCGUCGUGAAGAGGGAAACAACCCAGACCGCCAGCUAAGGUCCCAAAGUCAUGGUUAAGUGGGAAACGAUGUGGGAAGGCACAGACAGCCAGGAUGUUGGCUUAGAAGCAGCCAUCAUUUAAAGAAAGCGUAAUAGCUCACUGGUCGAGUCGGCCUGCGCGGAAGAUGUAACGGGGCUAAACCAUGCACCGAAGCUGCGGCAGCGACACUAUGUGUUGUUGGGUAGGGGAGCGUUCUGUAAGCCUGCGAAGGUGACCUGUGAGGGUUGCUGGAGGUAUCAGAAGUGCGAAUGCUGACAUAAGUAACGAUAAAGCGGGUGAAAAGCCCGCUCGCCGGAAGACCAAGGGUUCCUGUCCAACGUUAAUCGGGGCAGGGUGAGUCGACCCCUAAGGCGAGGCCGAAAGGCGUAGUCGAUGGGAAACAGGUUAAUAUUCCUGUACUUGGUGUUACUGCGAAGGGGGGACGGAGAAGGCUAUGUUAGCCGGGCGACGGUUGUCCCGGUUUAAGCAUGUAGGCUGAUUGUCCAGGCAAAUCCGGAUAAUCAAGGCUGAGGUGUGAUGACGAGGCACUACGGUGCUGAAGUAACAAAUGCCCUGCUUCCAGGAAAAGCCUCUAAGCAUCAGGUAACAUUAAAUCGUACCCCAAACCGACACAGGUGGUCAGGUAGAGAAUACCAAGGCGCUUGAGAGAACUCGGGUGAAGGAACUAGGCAAAAUGGUGCCGUAACUUCGGGAGAAGGCACGCUGGUGUGUAGGUGAAGCCCCUGCGGGUGGAGCUGAGACCAGUCGAAGAUACCAGCUGGCUGCAACUGUUUAUUAAAAACACAGCACUGUGCAAACACGAAAGUGGACGUAUACGGUGUGACGCCUGCCCGGUGCCGGAAGGUUAAUUGAUGGGGUUAUCCGUAAGGAGAAGCUCUUGAUCGAAGCCCCGGUAAACGGCGGCCGUAACUAUAACGGUCCUAAGGUAGCGAAAUUCCUUGUCGGGUAAGUUCCGACCUGCACGAAUGGCGUAAUGAUGGCCAGGCUGUCUCCACCCGAGACUCAGUGAAAUUGAACUCGCUGUGAAGAUGCAGUGUACCCGCGGCAAGACGGAAAGACCCCGUGAACCUUUACUAUAGCUUGACACUGAACAUUGAGCCUUGAUGUGUAGGAUAGGUGGGAGGCUUUGAAGCGUGGACGCCAGUCUGCGUGGAGCCAACCUUGAAAUACCACCCUUUAAUGUUUGAUGUUCUAACGUUGGCCCCUGACCGGGGUUGCGGACAGUGUCUGGUGGGUAGUUUGACUGGGGCGGUCUCCUCCCAAAGCGUAACGGAGGAGCACGAAGGUUAGCUAAUCCUGGUCGGACAUCAGGAGGUUAGUGCAAUGGCAUAAGCUAGCUUGACUGCGAGCGUGACGGCGCGAGCAGGUGCGAAAGCAGGUCAUAGUGAUCCGGUGGUUCUGAAUGGAAGGGCCAUCGCUCAACGGAUAAAAGGUACUCCGGGGAUAACAGGCUGAUACCGCCCAAGAGUUCAUAUCGACGGCGGUGUUUGGCACCUCGAUGUCGGCUCAUCACAUCCUGGGGCUGAAGUAGGUCCCAAGGGUAUGGCUGUUCGCCAUUUAAAGUGGUACGCGAGCUGGGUUUAGAACGUCGUGAGACAGUUCGGUCCCUAUCUGCCGUGGGCGCUGGAGAAUUGAGGGGGGCUGCUCCUAGUACGAGAGGACCGGAGUGGACGCAUCACUGGUGUUCGGGUUGUCAUGCCAAUGGCACUGCCCGGUAGCUAAAUGCGGAAGAGAUAAGUGCUGAAAGCAUCUAAGCACGAAACUUGCCCCGAGAUGAGUUCUCCCUGAGACUUUAAGUCUCCUGAAGGAACGUUGAAGACGACGACGUUGAUAGGCCGGGUGUGUAAGCGCAGCGAUGCGUUGAGCUAACCGGUACUAAUGAACCGUGAGGCUUAACCUU
Molecule: ribosomal RNA, 2900 nt
Filed under: Klebsiella pneumoniae
Lineage: Bacteria; Pseudomonadati; Pseudomonadota; Gammaproteobacteria; Enterobacterales; Enterobacteriaceae
Description: bacterial LSU rRNA
Rfam family: Bacterial large subunit ribosomal RNA
Source: RNAcentral